This 244-nucleotide ribosomal RNA is filed under the name uncultured Actinomycetales bacterium. RNAcentral's name for it is "partial 16S ribosomal RNA". It matches the Rfam family "Bacterial small subunit ribosomal RNA", at positions 89 to 334 of the family's 1533-position model. Lineage: Bacteria; Bacillati; Actinomycetota; Actinomycetes; Actinomycetales. The record is from RNAcentral.
GCUCGAGUGGCGAACGGGUGAGUAACACGUGAGUAACCUGCCCUUGACUUUGGGAUAACUUCAGGAAACUGGGGCUGAUACCGGAUAGGAGCUCCUGCUGCAUGGUGGGGGUUGGAAAGUUUCGGCGGUUGGGGAUGGACUCGCGGCUUAUCAGCUUGUUGGUGGGGUAGUGGCUUACCAAGGCUUUGACGGGUAGCCGGCCUGAGAGGGUGACCGGCCACAUUGGGACUGAGAUACGGCCCAG